RNAcentral lists this ribosomal RNA (497 nucleotides) under uncultured bacterium. Its description in RNAcentral is "partial 16S ribosomal RNA". It matches the Rfam family "Bacterial small subunit ribosomal RNA", at positions 28 to 507 of the family's 1533-position model. The record is from RNAcentral.
GAUGAACGCUGGCGGCGUGCCUAAUACAUGCAAGUCGAGCGAACAGACGAUGAGCUUUCUCCUCUGACGUUAGCGGCUGACGUGUUUGUAACACGUUGAUAACCUACCUAUAAUUCUUUUAUAACUUCGUGAAACCGUUUCUAAUACCGCAUAAUAUAUUGAACCGCAUUGUUCAAUAGUUCAUUACGGUUUUGCUGUCUCUUAUAGAUGUUUCAGCGCCUCAUUAUCUAGUUGGUAAGGUAAAGGCUUACCAAGGCAACGAUGCGUAGCCGACAUGAGAGGGUGAUAGGAGACACUGGAAGUGAGACACGGACCAGACGCCUACGGGAGGCAGCAGUAGGGAAUAUAGGGCAAUGGGCGAAAGCAUGACGGAGCAAAGCCGAGUGAGUGAAGAAGGUCUUAGGAUCGUAAAACUCUGUUAUUAGGGAAGAAAAAAAGUGUAAGAAAAUAUGGACGUAUUGACGGUAACUAAUAAGAAAGCAACGGCUAACUACGUG